This 228-nucleotide ribosomal RNA is filed under the name Triticum aestivum (bread wheat). RNAcentral's name for it is "partial small subunit ribosomal RNA". The record is from RNAcentral. Lineage: Eukaryota; Viridiplantae; Streptophyta; Magnoliopsida; Poales; Poaceae.
AUGUCCGCCGCCGGCGAAGCCUCCACCACGGUUCUCCGCUUCUUCUCCUUCAUCGGCGCCGGGGUGAUCUGCACCAAGGCCAUCAACAUGUAUCUCGACCACGAGCGCAAGCAGGAGGAGGCGUCCGCCGCGGCUGAGGCAGCAGCGGCCGCAGCCACUUCCGACUCCGCCGUGUUGGUAGCAGCCGACGCGUCUCCCGCGAGCGCCGUCGCCGCCGCAAAGCCCUGA